Molecule: ribosomal RNA, 775 nt
Filed under: uncultured Neocallimastigales
Lineage: Eukaryota; Fungi; Neocallimastigomycota; Neocallimastigomycetes; Neocallimastigales
Description: partial large subunit ribosomal RNA
Rfam family: Eukaryotic large subunit ribosomal RNA
Source: RNAcentral
AGAGAGAGACAUGCGCGCAUAUCAAUAAGCGGAGGAAAAGAGACUAACUAGGAUUCCCUCAGUAACGGCGAGUGAAGCGGGAAGAGCUCAAAUUUGAAAUCUUCAAGGUUCUACCUUGACGAAUUGUAGUUUAAAGAAGUGUUUUCUGUUGGAGUUUUGGUAAAAGUUCUUUGGAAUAGGACAUCAUAGAGGGUGAGAAUCCCGUAUUUGACCAUUAUUUCCAGCUUUGUGAUACACUUUCAAAGAGUCGGAUUGUUUGGGAAUGCAGUCCAAAAUGGGUGGUAAAUUUCAUCUAAAGCUAAAUAUUGGCGAGAGACCGAUAGCGAACAAGUACCGUGAGGGAAAGAUGAAAAGAACUUUGAAAAGAGAGUUAAACAGUACGUGAAAUUGUCAAAAGGGAAGCGUUUGACACCAGUGUUGUUUUCUCGAAAAUCAAUUAAAUAAGGCAGGAUUUUGUGUUGUAUUGACUUUAUCAGCUUUCUGCACUCUUUUCUUGUCUUUUUUAAUGCACUUUUCGUUUAACAAGUCAACAUCAAUUUCUUUUGUUGUAAAAGGGUCAUUGGAAGGUGGCUCUCUUUUCGGAGAAAGUGUUUAUAGCCUUUGGCCUCUGCAAUCGGAGAGAUUGAGGUCUGCAGCGUAGAUCCUUCGGGGCUAGAUACAUUUGUGCUAAGUUAUAGCAUUUAUAGACAACUUGUUGACUACUGAUUAGUCAUUGUAGCUUACUCGCUUAUGUUAUUUUACCUACGCUUAGGAUGUUGAUGUGAUACUGCGAGCA